ACGAAGGUGGCAAGCGUUGUUCGGAUUUACUGGGCGUAAAGGGAGCGUAGGUGGUCGGGUAAGCCCCGCGGGAAAGCUCCAGGCUUAACCUGGAAAGGUCGCGGGGGACUGCGCGGCUAGAGGACGGGAGAGGAGCGCGGAAUUCCCGGUGUAGCGGUGAAAUGCGUAGAGAUCGGGAGGAAGGCCGGUGGCGAAGGCGGCGCUCUGGAACGGCCCUGACACUGAGGCUCGAAAGCGUGGGGAGCAAACAGGA
This 253-nucleotide ribosomal RNA is filed under the name uncultured prokaryote. RNAcentral describes it as "partial 16S ribosomal RNA". It matches the Rfam family "Bacterial small subunit ribosomal RNA", at positions 525 to 777 of the family's 1533-position model. The record is from RNAcentral.